AGGCUGCAACCCGCCUGCGUGAAGUUGGAAUCGCUAGUAAUCGCGGAUCAGCAUGCCGCGGUGAAUACGUUCCCGGGCCUUGUACACACCGCCCGUCACACCAUGAGAGUCGGGAACACCCGAAGUCCGUAGCCUAACCGCAAGGGGGCGCGGCCGAAGGUGGGUUCGAUAAUUGGGGUGAAGUCGUAACAAGGUAGC
This 198-nucleotide ribosomal RNA is filed under the name uncultured bacterium. RNAcentral describes it as "partial 16S ribosomal RNA". It matches the Rfam family "Bacterial small subunit ribosomal RNA", at positions 1302 to 1500 of the family's 1533-position model. The record is from RNAcentral.